GACCAGUCAAUCACCUCACCAAAUUGAGCGUGACAAGCAGGCUAGCUUUCAGUCAAUUCAGAGUUAAAUACAGAAAAACACAUUCUGUUUAAAAAGAAUAAUAAUGAUUUCAACUAUUAUGCACUUAGCAUUUUCGAUGAUUUUGGAGUUAGGGUUUUUAUUUUGAGAAAAGGACAUAUCAAGGGAUUUGGAGAAAGAUGGGCUGAUUAGCCAAUGUGUCAUCUGAUGUAGCCAAAAUAGCAAAUUCAAGCCCACAGUUGAAACCUAUCCACCCAGAGCCCCCAGCUGUCUUGUGCUCUGUCCAUCUCCCUCUGGGCAGAACCACCUACUGGAGCUCCAGGCUUUGGUGGCCUGCACCCUGCUGAGGUUGGUGGGCCUGCUGUACUCUGGGAAGAUGGUGGGGGAGGUGGAGAGGCAGGAAGUGACCGCUGCUGCUGCUGUUGCCAGGCUGGGUAUCCAAGGACUGGUGAAGGUCGGAACGAGAGAUGACAAGGAAGAGAGGGAGGUGGGAGAUUUGGUCCAGCAGUCAAGGCAGAGUGGGUCAAAGCUUGGUAGAGGACGACAGACAGAGGGAGGGGCUUUCACAGAGGGACGUGGGUGUGCAGACAGACCCCCUGCAGAGCAGUGAAGCUCAGGCAGUGAGAAAGAUGGGAGGGAGAAGUGAAGAGCAGAAGCUCUCACCAGGAAGCUCAGAGAGAAAGUGAAACCAACUCGGUAUGAAAAAGACUCCAGGACUCAGACCUGUGAGUUAAAGGGGAGUGUGACCGAUACAGGGGACUUCAACGGUGUCUUCUCCCCUGGGCCCAUCUGUCCGUUCUGGACAUCCAGGGAAUGGAGGCCUCUGGUUCUAUUGUCCCUGUUCCCCUCUCCGUACCGCUCCCUCCCUCCUAAUAUUCCUUACACCCCCCUGUCUCACCUGCUAAACUGCCCGCUAGCUGAGAAUCAAACCCCUAACAAUCCCAAUUCUACCAUCCUCAUGCCUUCUGGUGAAUCUGCACCUGUUUACAUCCUCCCCCCAUUCCUCUCAUCCCUCCAUCCACCCCCCCCUGUGUUCCUGUCUGCCAUGAGCAUGUCAACGAGGGGCUCCCUUCACCUCAAAUCCCCCCCAGACAUGAGGGGACGGGGCUACCAGGAGGGGGAGGACUUGGACAAGGGGGAGGGAGAGACAGAGCGGAAUGGUUCUUUUGAGGGAAACCUCGCUGGAUUCAUCAGAUCUCACCCAACCACAGGAGGAGAACCUGAGAGGGAGGG
Molecule: long non-coding RNA, 1251 nt
Organism: Oncorhynchus tshawytscha (Chinook salmon)
Lineage: Eukaryota; Metazoa; Chordata; Actinopteri; Salmoniformes; Salmonidae
Source: Ensembl